This 23-nucleotide non-coding RNA is filed under the name Drosophila melanogaster (fruit fly). RNAcentral also lists the same sequence under 11 other names. The record is from RNAcentral. Lineage: Eukaryota; Metazoa; Arthropoda; Insecta; Diptera; Drosophilidae.
UUUCCGUAGGUGAACCUGCGGAA